This 741-nucleotide ribosomal RNA is filed under the name Salmonella enterica subsp. enterica serovar Heidelberg str. RI-11-013988. Its description in RNAcentral is "bacterial SSU rRNA". It matches the Rfam family "Bacterial small subunit ribosomal RNA", at positions 804 to 1533 of the family's 1533-position model. The record is from RNAcentral. Lineage: Bacteria; Pseudomonadati; Pseudomonadota; Gammaproteobacteria; Enterobacterales; Enterobacteriaceae.
AAACGAUGUCUACUUGGAGGUUGUGCCCUUGAGGCGUGGCUUCCGGAGCUAACGCGUUAAGUAGACCGCCUGGGGAGUACGGCCGCAAGGUUAAAACUCAAAUGAAUUGACGGGGGCCCGCACAAGCGGUGGAGCAUGUGGUUUAAUUCGAUGCAACGCGAAGAACCUUACCUGGUCUUGACAUCCACAGAACUUUCCAGAGAUGGAUUGGUGCCUUCGGGAACUGUGAGACAGGUGCUGCAUGGCUGUCGUCAGCUCGUGUUGUGAAAUGUUGGGUUAAGUCCCGCAACGAGCGCAACCCUUAUCCUUUGUUGCCAGCGGUCCGGCCGGGAACUCAAAGGAGACUGCCAGUGAUAAACUGGAGGAAGGUGGGGAUGACGUCAAGUCAUCAUGGCCCUUACGACCAGGGCUACACACGUGCUACAAUGGCGCAUACAAAGAGAAGCGACCUCGCGAGAGCAAGCGGACCUCAUAAAGUGCGUCGUAGUCCGGAUUGGAGUCUGCAACUCGACUCCAUGAAGUCGGAAUCGCUAGUAAUCGUGGAUCAGAAUGCCACGGUGAAUACGUUCCCGGGCCUUGUACACACCGCCCGUCACACCAUGGGAGUGGGUUGCAAAAGAAGUAGGUAGCUUAACCUUCGGGAGGGCGCUUACCACUUUGUGAUUCAUGACUGGGGUGAAGUCGUAACAAGGUAACCGUAGGGGAACCUGCGGUUGGAUCACCUCCUUACCUUAAAGAAGC